This is a long non-coding RNA of Xyrauchen texanus (razorback sucker), 514 nucleotides long. RefSeq lists it as uncharacterized. The record is from RefSeq and is a predicted model, not a curated record. The transcript is spliced from 3 exons. Lineage: Eukaryota; Metazoa; Chordata; Actinopteri; Cypriniformes; Catostomidae.
CAGAACUGCUUAGAGCUGCGAUAUGAACUACUUUACAGCUGACUAGAGAACAGUUAGAGAACAGCAUGAAGUAGGUCGGGGUUAACAAGAAGAGGAGGAAGAUGGCAUGUUGCCCCUGCCCCCGGCAUGCCAGGCACAUUCCAGGUUUUCUAAAGAGACUCUUCAGCAGCUGGUUGAAAUGGUUUUUGAAGCACAGGAUGGUGAACUGACACUCAUUCCUGGAGAAGGUGUCUGAAGAUCUGAUAUACUGAGUUGGGAAGUGAUUCACUAUCUACUGCAGUGCAACAGUCUACAUUUGAAACUUAACUUCAGAAAGAUCAUCAUUCUUCUGAAAACAUCAGGGAACUUCUGCCUUUGCUGGACAGAAUCCAGAUUAAAAGGUUGAGCCCCAGCUUCAUGCUGACCAUCAUGAUGGAGAUUUACAAAACUUGCUCUUAUCAGUAUGUGUCCAGUCUGUUAAGUUCAGUAGAGGAUUACAUCAACAUGAACAGCAGAGUGCUGCACUGCGCUUCAC